RNAcentral lists this ribosomal RNA (496 nucleotides) under uncultured bacterium. RNAcentral's name for it is "partial 16S ribosomal RNA". It matches the Rfam family "Bacterial small subunit ribosomal RNA", at positions 29 to 507 of the family's 1533-position model. The record is from RNAcentral.
AUGAACGCUGGCGGCGUGCCUAAUACAUGCAAGUCGAGCGAACAGACGAGGAGCUUGCUCCUCUGACGUUAGCGGCGGACGGGUGAGUAACACGUGGAUAACCUACCUAUAAGACUGGGAUAACUUCGGGAAACCGGAGCUAAUACCGGAUAAUAUAUUGAACCGCAUGGUUCAAUAGUGAAAGACGGAUUUGCUGUCACUUAUAGAUGGAUCCGCGCCGCAUUAGCUAGUUGGUAAGGUAACGGCUUACCAAGGCAACGAUGCGUAGCCGACCUGAGAGGGUGAUCGGCCACACUGGAAUUGAGACACGGUCCAGACUCCUACGGGAGGCAGCAGUAGGGAAUCUUCCGCAAUGGGCGAAAGCCUGACGGAGCAACGCGGCGUGAGUGAUGAAGGUCUUCGGAUCGUAAAACUCUGUUAUUAGGGAAGAACAAAUGUGUAAGUAACUAUGCACGUCUUGACGGUACCUAAUCAGAAAGCCACGGCUAACUACGUG